This 1509-nucleotide ribosomal RNA is filed under the name metagenome. RNAcentral describes it as "bacterial LSU rRNA". It matches the Rfam family "Bacterial large subunit ribosomal RNA", at positions 1277 to 2913 of the family's 2925-position model. The record is from RNAcentral.
CUAGAUCAGAAGCGAGAAUGUUGACAUGAGUAGCGACAAAGGGGGUGAGAGACCCCCUCGCCGAAAGUCCAAGGGUUCCUGCUUAAAGCUAAUCUGAGCAGGGUAAGCCGGCCCCUAAGGCGAGGCCGAAAGGCGUAGUCGAUGGGAACACGGUUAAUAUUCCGUGGCCAGGAGGAAGUGACGGAUCUCGACGGGAGUUUGCCCUUAUCGGAUUGGGUGGGCUGCUUAGAGGUCCCUGGAAAUAGCCCUCCAUCAGACCGUACCCUAAACCGACACAGGUGGACUGGUAGAGUAUACCAAGGCGCUUGAGAGAACCACGUUAAAGGAACUCGGCAAAAUGCCUCCGUAAGUUCGCGAGAAGGAGGCCCCGUCUGUACGCAAGUGCGGGCGGGGGGCACAAACUAGGGGGUGGCGACUGUUUACUUAAAACACAGGGCUCUGCGAAGCCGUAAGGCGACGUAUAGGGUCUGACGCCUGCCCGGUGCUGGAAGGUUAAAAGGAGGGGUGCAAGCUCUGAAUUGAAGCCCCAGUAAACGGCGGCCGUAACGAUAACGGUCCUAAGGUAGCGAAAUUCCUUGUCGGGUAAGUUCCGACCUGCACGAAUGGCGUAACGAUCUCCCCGCUGUCUCUAACGUGGACUCAGCGAAAUUGAACUGUGUGUCAAGAUGCACACUUCCCGCGGUUAGACGGAAAGACCCCAUGCACCUUUACUCCAGCUUUGCACUGGCAUCAGGAUUGUGAUGUGCAGGAUAGGUGGUAGGCAUCGAAGCGGGGACGCUAGUCCUCGUGGAGCCUCCCUUGAGAUACCACCCUUCGCACUCUUGAUGUCUAACCGCGGCCCGUUAUCCGGGUCCGGGACCCUGCAUGGUGGGGAGUUUGACUGGGGCGGUCGCCUCCCAAACAGUAACGGAGGCGCGCGAAGGUAGGCUCAGACCGGUCGGAAAUCGGUCGUUGAGUGCAAUGGCAGAAGCCUGCCUGACUGCAAGACUGACAAGUCGAGCAGAGACGAAAGUCGGUCAUAGUGAUCCGGUGGUCCCAAGUGGGAGGGCCAUCGCUCAACGGAUAAAAGGUACGCUGGGGAUAACAGGCUGAUGAUGCCCAAGAGUCCAUAUCGACGGCAUCGUUUGGCACCUCGAUGUCGGCUCAUCUCAUCCUGGGGCUGGAGCAGGUCCCAAGGGUAUGGCUGUUCGCCAUUUAAAGAGGUACGUGAGCUGGGUUUAGAACGUCGUGAGACAGUUCGGUCCCUAUCUGCCGUGGGUGUAGGAGACUUGAGAAGAGUUGCCCCUAGUACGAGAGGACCGGGGUGAACGGACCACUGGUGGACCAGUUAUCGUGCCAACGGUAGUGCUGGGUAGCUAUGUUCGGACAGGAUAACCGCUGAAGGCAUCUAAGCGGGAAGCCCCCUUCAAAACAAGGUCUCCCUUGAGGGCCGUGGUAGACCACCACGUCGAUAGGCCAGAGGUGUAAGUGCAGCAAUGCAUUCAGCUGACUGGUACUAAUUGCCCUCAC